CAAUAGCGUAUAUUAAAGUUGUUGCAGUUAAAAAGCUCGUAGUUGGAUUUCUGGUCGGAAGCUCCUGUCCUCUGAUGAGCGUACAAGUGCGUCCUACCAUCCUUCUGUUAACCUUUAAGGCUUUCGCGGCUUUCUAGGGGCUCAGAUAUUUUACCUUGAGGAAAUUAGAGUGUUUCAGGCAGGCUAGCGCCGGAAUACAUUAGCAUGGAAUAAUGGAAUAGGACUUUUGCCUCUUCUGUUGGUCAUGAGGCUCGAGUAAUGAUUAAUAGGGAUAGUUGGGGGCAUUAGUACUUAACUGUCAGAGGUGAAAUUCUCGGAUUUGUUAAAGACUAACUUAUGCGAAAGCAUUUGCCAAGGAUGUUUUCAUUA
RNAcentral lists this ribosomal RNA (369 nucleotides) under uncultured eukaryote. RNAcentral describes it as "partial 18S ribosomal RNA". It matches the Rfam family "Eukaryotic small subunit ribosomal RNA", at positions 592 to 975 of the family's 1831-position model. The record is from RNAcentral.